RNAcentral lists this long non-coding RNA (7551 nucleotides) under Populus tremula. RNAcentral describes it as "long non-coding RNA (PTRE_LNC000902)". Lineage: Eukaryota; Viridiplantae; Streptophyta; Magnoliopsida; Malpighiales; Salicaceae. The record is from RNAcentral.
UGCUUCUUGUGCAGGUGACUGGGAGAUGCACCGCCGGUAACGGACGGGAAGAGAAGAAGGAGACGAUCCCGAUCCACCAGGUUGCUGGUCUUCAUUGGCUGUGGCGCGUGAACCCACGCGCCGCCAGUGACGGUGGUGCGUGAGGUCAACGCGCCGCCACGUGUCAAAGUGAUCCCAGAAGGCUCUCCUGCAAUUCUGUGUUUUGGGGGGGUCUUUUCUGUAAUUUUGAAACUGUUAAGGCCUUGUUUGUGUAAUUUUUUUAGUUUUUGCUAUUUGUAAUAUGUGAAUGUGAUGUAAAAAAGGAAAAGAAAAGAAAAACAAAUAAUAAUAAAAAGUUGUGUGUGUGUGUUUUUUUUAUUUAUUAUAUUGAAUUAUAUAAAAAAAGAACAAAAAAGAAUUAAUUGUUUAAUUUGAACAUGCACUGAUUUAUUAAAGCCUUAGAAUUGGGCUAAAAUUUUAUAUUUUUAAAAUUACAUCAAGCUCACGAAGCUUGAAUGUGGUGUGUGUAUUUUGUUUGUGAAUUUUUUAUUAAAAUAUUGCAGGAAUAAAGAAGGAUUUAAUAUUUUGAUUGGAUCACGGUGUAGAAAUACAAACUUGUACGGAAGUUGUAUUUCUAAAUCCGAUGAAAAGACAAUUUUUAAAACUUCUUUAACACAUCAGGUCCACGAAGCAGCUUACUUCAGGUAGGGUGCGUUAGGGGUGCUAAUACCUUCUUCCACUAACCACCAAUCAGUCCCUUACCCGACCAUGACCAGUCAGGGUUUCCUAGUAACCUCAAUUAAAUACUAGGUGGCGACUCCCAACGAACCAAUUCAAGCAACAACAACGAGAGACAUAAAUCGCCAGCCGAUGCCGCGCGCGGGAUUUUUCGACGUGCGACAGAAUGGCGACUCCACUGGGGAGGUACUGUUUCUGACAAUAUUGGACUAAGCUUUGUGUACUUGAUGUGUUUAAAUUUUGCCAUUUUUGUCUUGUUUUAUUUUAUGCAUGCAUUUUAUAGAAUUGUUUCAUGCAUCACGUAUUUAUUUUUGAAAGCACACACAAGCUUCUAAGUUAGGUGGGGAGUAGCAGUCUACCUCAUGACUUUCAGUCGGGGUUCAGAUUUGUGAAACAUCCAACUAUGAGCUGAGUGUUUACUCGGUAAUGGCGGUCACAUGGUGCCCCAACCAUUCCUUGUAAACCCCUAUACUGCCUUCACGUGAGGUCGUCACUGGGCAGUUCAUAGACCCUUUUGAGACCAGGUAGAAAACCUACCCAUGUUCACACAAUGAAUAGAACUUGUCCUUAGGUUGUAUGUGCUAUCAUUUAUUUGCAUCGGGGCGAACCCUUCUUGAAGCAUCUUGAACUCAAGAUUUGUGGGUGACACAUUGGUCGUCACUCGGAAAAUUUUCAUUGUAGAGUUUGGGCAAAAAUCAUGAUUCUUGUUCCAUCAUACAAGAGUUACGACCAUGUUGUCACCCCUCGAAGGGCGAGUUCAUCAUAUAGAUUUCAUGUUCAUACAUUUGUCAUGCAUGCACCAGAAUAAAAAGUAGGUCCCCUCCGAGUCUACAACACCUGAUUUUGAGAGAAAAACAUUGGAGACAAAGAGCGUGCUCACCGCAGCAUCCAUUUCCAAGAAGAGUUAGAGUCUCUGAAAGCAAGUGUGGCUCGCCUCACUAGCUUACUCGAGCAUAUUAGAAAUGCCUCUGAAGGUCCUUCCAAUCGGCCACAUUUUUGUUCAGCCCCAACAAACCCGAAGAAAUUGGGGGCCAACAUGAUCAAGAGCCUCAACACAAUCUGAAGGGGAAUUGCAUCACCGUUGCAGAAUGGAGCCUGUUCUUGCUCUGCCAAAAUAACUACCUCUGUUUGAUCAUGCCUCCAAAAACUUGAUUUUUUGUUUCAACCUAUUCCAGUUUUUGUUGGUAAUUUGGCUCAAAAUUCCACAAGACUUUCCUGUCCACUGAGCCUUUAUCAUGUGUUUUGCUGUGUUCAUCACAUGCCUUUUUUUGUUGUUUCAUGCAAAUAACACAUUGAGCAUAACCUUUAAGCAUGAAACCACCGCGCCCAAAAUCUUGUGGUGCGUUUCCCUUUUCUUCCCAAAACAUGCAUGUUUUCAUAAGGAUUUUUGGGAAUUCAAAGUUUAGUACAAAAACAGAAAUCAUGUUGAUGUUUGUCCGAAACAAACGAGUUCUGGAAAUUCAGGUGAUUCCUUAGAGAGGUAACCAUACACCUAGAAAACCCAAAAAAAAAAACACCAUGAAGUGACUCCAAAAGCUGAGUUUUGAUUGCAUGAAUAAUGAGAAAUCACUCUGCAUACUCGCAUGAAAGCAAGGCUUACCGAUCCUAAAUGCAUGCAUUUGAGAUGAAGAAAGGCCAUCUUUGAUAAUCCUUUCACAAGGCUGAAAUAUAUCAUUUGCAGUCCCCUUUUGAGCCUAAUAAAUUUUUCUUGAAAAAUAACCUUGGCUAGGAUCACACCCUACACUGGGGGGCAAGUGCAAAAAAAUCCAUAAUGAUUGAAAGUGCCCAAAUAACUCUUGGGGGCAUGAAAAAGUCUUCAACGAUGAAAGUGCCCAAACAAUACUGGGGGGCAUAAAAGAAAAUUCUCAAUCAUCAAAGGUGCCCAUACAAAGCUAGGGGGCAUGAAAAAAAAUCCAAAGGAUCCAAAAAUUUGAGCAAAAAAAAAAAGGCUAAUGCAAUGAUGCUCAAAAUCAAAUGAAGAAAACAAAAACAAAGAGAAACACCAACCCAACACUGGGGGGCACCGUGGACCAUUUUACAAAUCAAUUCCAAGGUCCAGAAAUGUAUGAACAAAAGAGUUUGGGAUAUAAGCACUUGUGAUCCUUAGUCUUAAAGUCCCUUAAACACCUUUUGAGCCUACAAUAUCAUUUUCUUCAUAGCCAAAAGCCCAAGCCUACAUUACGUGCCUAAUGAAGCCCUUUCUGAUCAAAGGCAAGCAAUCUGGAUCGGUAGGCAGUGCUUUCUCAUGCGAAAUAAAAUCAUUAUUCAUGCAAAUAAAAUGAAUGCUUUCACCAAACAUGUUUCUUCAAUAACCCACAAAAUUGAAAUUUCAACCUUUUGUGACCAACCAAAUGUCACUUCAUAUUUUUCACCAAAAUCAAAACAAAAAGUUCAUCACUUCUGAAAACCUCUCCAUAGGAAUCACUUGAAUUUCUUCAGAAUGAGUUCGCUUUGAAUCGAUGUUAAAAUGAUUUCUGUGUUUGGAAUAGCUUUGAAAUUCCAAAAAUUCUGCAUGAAAACAACUCCUUGUCAAACCUUCCGUCACAUAGCCUCAUCCCCAAACCCGAAUUGAAUACUUGGGGGCAUGAUCAAGCUAGGGGGCAAUCAAAAACAUCUGGUAGAGCUUGCUCCGUGAUUCCCUUUCGAAGAAACUAUUGGGCAAAAUUUGCAACCCUUGAGAUAAAAGGGGUGGAGAACAAAGAAAUGAUGACAUCAAGUCUUUCUUAGAGGCCAAGAUCGUAAGAUAUGACUCGAGUAAGCAAGAGCGAAAAGAGCCAUCAAAGCUUAUUAUCAGAGACUCAAACUUUUGAGAAAAGGAGAACUCCAUGAAGAAAAAGGGGACCUAUACUUCUCAGGUAAGUAUACAUGCAUAUUGAUCAUGAUGCAUUACUUUCAUCCUUGACAGAUCGGUGUCUCACCAUCACCUCUUUUUGAGCGGGUUGCUGAAGCCUAACCUUUUAGGUAGUGUGUUUUCCAACCCUACCUCCUUCUGAGGGCGUCUUUUAGCCCUCACCCCUUAGGUAGUGCGUUUUCCAACCCUAUCUCUUUUUAAGUGCGCCUUAGGGCCAUUAACCACCUUAGGUAGUGCGUUUUCCAACCUUACCUCCUUACCUCUUUUCAAGUGCACCUUUGAACCCCCGAUCACCUUUAGGUAGUGCGUUUUUCAACCCUAUCUCCUUUUAAGUGCGCCUUAGAGCCAUCAACCCUUUAGGUAGUGCGUUUUCCAACCCUAUCUCUUUUUAAGUGCGCCUUAGGGCCAUUAACCACCUUAGGUAGGGCGUUUUCCAACCUUACCUCCUUACCUCUUUUCGAGUGCACCUUUGAGCCCUCGAUCACCUUUAGGUAGUGUGUUUUCCAACCCUGCCUCCUUUUUUAGUACGCCUUCGAGCCUUAACCCUUUAGGUAGUGUGUUUUCCAACCCUGCCUCUUUUUUAGCGCGCCUUCGAGCUAACAACCCCUUUAGGUAGUGUGUUUUAUGACCCUACCUCCCCUUUAGAGUGCGCCUUAGAGCCUUCAACCACUUUAGGUAGUGCGUUUCCCAACCUUACCUCCUUUCGUAUGCUCCUUCGAGCCCUCACCACUUUAGGUAGUGAGUUUUCCAACCCUACCUCCUUUUGAAUGCUCCUUUGAACCCUUACCCCUCAGGUAAUGCGUUUUCCAACCUUGCCUCCUUUUGAGAGCUCCUUCGAGCCCUCACCUCUUGUGUGGUGUGCUUUCUAGCCCUAUUUUCCUUCUUUAGAGUGCGCCUUGGAGCACUCACCUCUUAGGUAGUGUGUUUUUCGAACCCUAUCUCCUUUCGAGUGCGCUCUUCAGCCCUCGUUCCCCAUCGAGUCCUAUCAUGUCGUCCCUUUGAGACAUUUUGCCUUUUCACCCGGGCAGGUCACCCAUUAUAAUCAGACUUCUUUCAAAACUCUUUUCAUCUUCCAUUUGGGCCGGUUGCCCAUAACAAUAAAACCACUUUGAAAAAUCUCUGCAUUUUUCACCACUUUGAAAAAUCUCUGCAUUUUUCAUCACCUUGAAAAAUCUUUACAUUUUUCACCAAUUCUGAGAAAUCUUUGCAUUUCUCCCCACCUUCAAAAUUCUUCCAUUUGGGCCGGUUGCCCAUAACAAUAAAACCAUUUUGAGAAAUCCUUGCAUUUCUCCCCACUCUCAAACUUUUUCACUUGGGCCGGUUGCCCAUCACAACAAGACCACUUUGAGAAAUCUUUGCAUUUCUCACCACUUUAAGAAAUCUUUGCAUUUCUCACCACUUUGAAAAAUCUUUGUAUUUCUCACCACUUUGAGAAAUCUUUGCAUUUCUCACCACCUCCAAAAUUUGUCACCAUCUUGAAAAAUCUCUGCAUUUUUCACCUCUUUGAAAAAUCUUUGUAUUUUUCAAAACCUUUCCAUCGGGCCGGUUGCCCAUUACAAUAAAACCACUUUGAAAAAUCUCUGUAUGCAUUUUUCAUCAUUUUGAGAAAUCUUUGCAUUUCUCACCACCUUGAAAAAUAUUCGUAUUUUUCACCACCUUGAAAACUCUUUUCGUUUUCCACCUUGGGCCGGUUGCCCAUUACAACAAAACCACUUUGAGAAAUCUUCGCAUUUUUCACCACUUUGAAAUCUUUGCAUUUUUCACCACCUUGAAAACUCCUUUUGUUUUCCAUCUUGGGCCGGUUGCCCAUUACAACAAAACCAUUUUGAAAAAUCUUUGCAUUUUUCACCACUUUAAAACAUAUUCGUGUUUUUCACCCGGGUAGGUCACCCAUGACAAUUCGACCAUUUCAAAAUCUUUGAAUUUUCAAAAAAAAAAAAAAAAAAAAAAAAAAAAAAAUCUCUUUCUUUUUUUCUUCUUUACAACGCUUACUAUCUAAAGCCUCCUACGAGACUUUCUAUCAUAAGCAUUGUAAAGAGGGGGGCAACUGUCAUAACCCAGUUUUGGGUUAUUCCCCAAAUUUUACUUUUUUUCAAAAUAAAAAUAAAAAAUAAAAUAAAAUUAAUGCUGCAAAAAUAGGCAAAAAUCGAAGGACAAAUUAAAUGCAAAUUCGAAGGUCAAAUAAAAUGAUUAUUGGAUGAAUUUGCAUAAAAAUUAAGUCCAAUGACAUAAUUAAAUUUUUAAUAGGCCAAUUUGAUUUAAUCAUGGGCCAAAUUAAAUUUUAAUUAUGUUUAAGAAUUAAUUUGGGUCCAAUUGAAGGAUUUAAUUAAGUGCAAGGACUUAAUUAUACUUUAAAUGGGUCAAAUUAAUUUGAGGGCUUAAUUGGUGAAAAAUUAAGUUUGGGAGCUUAAUUUGGACUGAAUUGAAAAGAUUGAAAUUUUAAGACCAAAUUUAAUUUUUACCAAAUGAAUUGAACACAAAAAUUGAGGGACCAAUUUGAAAGCUCGAAAAAUUAUUUUGCCUAUAAAUAGCAGUUUUUAACUCAAAAUUAGGGGGGUUUUAUUUUGUAAUUUUGGAAGGAAAGAGAGAACCCUAAAAAACUAAACUUUUCUUUUUCUCUACUGAAGGCAGCCGCCAGGGAGCCCCCGCUGGUUUUCAAUUUUUUUGACUCCCUGAGCUGCUCUCCUUUGCCUGAUUUUUCAACCCAAACGGCAGUCCCUACUGGUUGAAACAAAACCAGAGCAGCCCCCGGUUGCAAACUUUCUUCCCACUGCCUCUGAUUUUUUUUCUUCUCCCGGAGCCGCCCCCCCCCACGUUUUUGGGUUUUCCUCUUCAGCGGGUUCCACUCAUUUUCCCUUCUCCCGGCACCAGUCAGCUGCUGCCAUUCCCUUCUCUUCAGCAAAGAAACCAUUUUUUUUCACAGACCCAAGCUUUCAUCUUCUCUGCAGCGGUCACCCAAAACUGAAGAGAAGACACGAAACCACAGCCACGCAUGGCCUCCUCCUCCUCCUUGAUCUUCUUCUCCUCCGUAGCAGUUGGUUUUCACUGCUCCCCUUCAGCACCAUUCUUUUUUUUCACGCAAGCCAGGCGCUGACCCCCCUCUCUUUGAAAAACAGAGGCACCUCUCAUCAGCCAAAAAAUUAGAGGCUCAAGCCUGCCGUUCACCAUCACUCUCCCUCUCAAUCCUUCCUCCCUCACGGACCCAUAACCGGACCCUUCUCCUCCAAGAACAAAACUCAGCCCCUCGCCUGAUCUCCCUCAGCACUCUCGGUUGCAGCCAAACGCCAGCAGCCCCAUUUUCCUCUCCUUGGACCAACAACCCGACAGACCCAGCUGUCUCUCCCUUAACCUUUCCACAGCCGGUGACAGAGAAGUAAUACCAGAACCACAGACCGGCCUUCCACUAUAACCGACUAGCAGCAGCCCGACACAGCGGCGCCGACAGAUUCCCGAUCUGUCCGCCUCCAGCCAGCCACCUCUGCUCUCGUCUUCAACCAUCCAAACAGCCAUAAGCAGUGGUGGCGUUGGACCCAAGAAGAAGAAAGGAAAAACAGCAAACCAUAAUUAAAAAGAAAGACCCGGGAACAGAUCUGCAGAGGAAGAAAAAAAGAUUAAAAUCAACUGCCAUGUGUUGUGUUUUUGCUUCUUGUGCAGGUGACUGGGAGAUGCACCGCCGGUACGGACGGGAAGAGAAGAAGGAGACGAUCCCGAUCCACCAGGUUGCUGGUCUUCAUUGGCUGUGGCGCGUGAACCCACGCGCCGCCAGUGACGGUGGUGCGUGAGGUCAACGCGCCGCCACGUGUCAAAGUGAUCCCAGAAGGCUCUCCUGCAAUUCUGUGUUUUGGGGGGGUCUUUUCUGUAAUUUUGAAACUGUUAAGGCCUUGUUUGUGUAAUUUUUUUAGUUUUUGCUAUUUGUAAUAUGUGAAUGUGAUGUAAAAAAGGAAAAGAAAAGAAAAACAAAUAAUAAUAAAAAGUUGUGUGUG